UACGUAGGGUGCAAGCGUUGUCCGGAAUUAUUGGGCGUAAAGAGCUCGUAGGCGGUUUGUCGCGUCUGCUGUGAAAUCUCAGGGCUUAACCCUGAGCUUGCAGUGGGUACGGGCAGACUUGAGUUCGGUAGGGGAGUGGGGAAUUCCUAGUGUAGCGGUGAAAUGCGCAGAUAUUAGGAGGAACACCGGUGGCGAAGGCGCCACUCUGGGCCGAAACUGACGCUGAGGAGCGAAAGCAUGGGGAGCAAACAGG
RNAcentral lists this ribosomal RNA (253 nucleotides) under uncultured bacterium. RNAcentral describes it as "partial 16S ribosomal RNA". It matches the Rfam family "Bacterial small subunit ribosomal RNA", at positions 524 to 776 of the family's 1533-position model. The record is from RNAcentral.